UCCGGUUGAUCCUGCCAGAGGCCGCUGCUAUCCGGCUGGGACUAAGCCAUGCUAGUCUAGGGGCUUGUACCCCUUCGGGGGUGCAAGCACCGGCGGACGGCUCAGUAACACGUGGACAACCUGCCCUCGGGUGGGGGAUAACCCCGGGAAACUGGGGCUAAUCCCCCAUAGGUGAUGGGUGCUGGAAUGCCCCAUCUCCGAAAGCGCUCAGCGCCCGAGGAUGGGUCUGCGGCGGAUUAGGUAGUUGGUGGGGUAACGGCCCACCAAGCCUAAGAUCCGUACGGGCUGUGGGAGCAGGAGCCCGGAGAUGGACCCUGAGACAAGGGUCCAGGCCCUACGGGGCGCAGCAGGCGCGAAACCUCCGCAAUGCGGGAAACCGCGACGGGGUUAGCCGGAGUGCCCGUGCAUUGCACGGGCUGUCGGGGUGCCUAAACAGCACCCCAUAGCAAGGGCCGGGCAAGGCCGGUGGCAGCCGCCGCGGUAAGACCGGCGGCCCGAGUGGCGGCCACUCUUAUUGGGCCUAAAGCGUCCGUAGCCGGCCCAGUAAGUCCCCCGGGAAAUCUGGUCGCUUAACGAUCAGACUUCCGGGGGAUACUGCUGGGCUAGGGACCGGGAGAGGCCGAGGGUAUUCCCGGGGUAGGGGUGAAAUCCUGUAAUCCCGGGAGGACCACCUGUGGCGAAG
Molecule: ribosomal RNA, 682 nt
Filed under: uncultured archaeon
Lineage: Archaea
Description: bacterial SSU rRNA
Rfam family: Archaeal small subunit ribosomal RNA
Source: RNAcentral